CUCUCACCCAGUUUGAUCAGGAGCUGAUAGGGAGCAAUUCCUCCUCCACAAUUCCUGGGAAAGCUCCCCCUCAGGAGUCUGAGCAGUCACUCAGCUCCUCCCACACCCAGAACCCUUCCUGCCCCAGCUGUUGGGGAGCAGAGUCCAGCUCCUCCACUGGAGUGUCUGGCUCCCCAGGGCUCAGCCUCUGACUCAGCCCACAGCUGCCCAUCUGGGGAAUUGCUCCCCACCCACAGCACAGCAGGUCAGGGCUUUCCUCCUGCAGAGGACCCCCUGGACAGCACACCCAGCCCAGGAAGAAGAGAGGGGGCAGCUGGCUGUCAGCAUUGCCUCUGUGUAACUGCAGUGACCUCUUCAUGGCAUCAGAGUGGCGGCCUCCCAGUGCAGUGGAGUCUUGGCCUGGGCACCUGCUGGGAACCAGAGGGAAGGGAGGAGCUGGGAGCAGCCUCUGCAGACAGGAGUGGACCAAGGGCUGCCUGUGCCCGGGCCACUGUGUGAAAUGCCCUGAAACUUGGAUGGGAGAAACUCACACUGCAGUUGAGAAACACUGAAGGCCUCACUGCUGUGGGCCUGGUAAUUUAGUUUUACUGCCUGCAUAGUGGAGCCCAUAUGCAGGUGGCAACCCUGAGGGCUCCCCUCAAACUGUGCACCCUGCACUGCUGGACACUGGGGGUUGCAGGCACAGGAGGCCUCAGACUUCCCUGCGUCCUUUGUGGCUGUGGAACCUGUUCUGAUGGACACCAAGUCACUGACUCCUCCUAAGCUGCAGGGGCAGGGCCAGUUCCUUUCCCCAAAUGCAGAGGCUGCCUCAGCAGCUGGCUGGGAUUCUCCAGGAUCCAGAGUGAGGCUGGGGGUCCACAUCAGAGCCAGCAAACUGCAGGGUUCCAAGGAUUGGACCCCAGGUGCACCUGGAGUCCCCAGGGAGCUCUGCCUACAGCCCUGUCCCAGGCUCACAGGGCAGCUUGCUCCUCCCAGCUCACUGGGCCCUGGGGCCACCACACAACUCAGCCCCUCUCCCUUCCUGCAGGGAGCAGUUACCCCUCUCCGUCUGACCCCCACCUUCAGCCCCUGGGUACCCAGAGCACCUGCCAAGUGUUUGCCUGGAAGGCCAGCCCUCUCCUUGCCUAGAGGAGCAGGGAGGGGGUGCAAGGGCAGCUCCCCCCGCCAUGCUGAGCCCGCAGAGCCUGUGCCCUGCUCUC
Molecule: long non-coding RNA, 1199 nt
Filed under: Heterocephalus glaber (naked mole-rat)
Lineage: Eukaryota; Metazoa; Chordata; Mammalia; Rodentia; Bathyergidae
Description: lncRNA (ENSHGLG00100038601.1)
Source: RNAcentral